Molecule: ribosomal RNA, 460 nt
Filed under: uncultured bacterium
Lineage: Bacteria
Description: partial 16S ribosomal RNA
Rfam family: Bacterial small subunit ribosomal RNA
Source: RNAcentral
CCUACGGGAGGCAGCAGUGAGGAAUAUUGGUCAAUGGACGAGAGUCUGAACCAGCCAAGUAGCGUGAAGGAUGACUGCCCAGUGGGUUGUAAACUUCUUUUAUAUGGGAAUAAAAUGUUCCACGUGUGGGAUUUUGUAUGUACCAGAUGAAUAAGGAUCGGCUAACUCCGUGCCAGCAGCCGCGGUAAUACGGAGGAUCCGAGCGUUAUCCGGAUUUAUUGGGUUUAAAGGGAGCGUAGGUGGAUUGUUAAGUCAGUUGUGAAAGUUUGCGGCUCAACCGUAAAAUCGCAGUUGAAACUGGCAGUCUUGAGUACAGUAGAGGUGGGCGGAAUUCGUGGUGUAGCGGUGAAAUGCUUAGAUAUCACGAAGAACUCCGAUUGCGAAGGCAGCUCACUGGACUGAAACUGACACUGAGGCUCGAAAGUGUGGGUAUCGAACAGGAUUAGAUACCCGUGUAGUC